Molecule: transfer RNA, 79 nt
Filed under: Hymenobacter sp.
Lineage: Bacteria; Pseudomonadati; Bacteroidota; Cytophagia; Cytophagales; Hymenobacteraceae
Description: tRNA-Leu
Rfam family: tRNA
About the family: Transfer RNA (tRNA) molecules are approximately 80 nucleotides in length. Their secondary structure includes four short double-helical elements and three loops (D, anti-codon, and T loops). Further hydrogen bonds mediate the characteristic L-shaped molecular structure. tRNAs have two regions of fundamental functional importance: the anti-codon, which is responsible for specific mRNA codon recognition, and the 3' end, to which the tRNAs corresponding amino acid is attached (by aminoacyl-tRNA synthetases). tRNAs cope with the degeneracy of the genetic code in two manners: having more than one tRNA (with a specific anti-codon) for a particular amino acid; and 'wobble' base-pairing, i.e. permitting non-standard base-pairing at the 3rd anti-codon position.
Source: RNAcentral
GCCGGUAUAGCCCAAUUGGUAGAAUGGCAGUACCCUCAAAACGUAUUCAGUGUGGGUUCGAAUCCCUCUACCGGCACCA